UGUGGAGACACCAAAGCGAGAGUACAGGUAUUCGUUGAGAACAAGAGUACUGAGCGUGACCACUUCGAGCAGUCAUAAGGAAGUCUACCUUCUCAUCGAUGACUAGCUCAAUGCUGUAGUUGUGUGUCUAGUUCUUUGACCUAAGGUGCAUUGACAGUUCACCUUGAGUGUGUUAUAGUUUGACUACACCAUAACUUGGUCUCCUAGCCAUUCGAAAUCCUGAGGUAUAUGUUGGCUGUGGCAUAUUCAUUGUAGAAACUAGGUCGCACCAAGAUGGGAUCUAUCAACCUCGAUAGAUGAGAGAAGUAGUCCUAUGAUAAUUGAAAGAUCGAAUCCUUAAGCCCAUGGCCAUGGC
RNAcentral lists this long non-coding RNA (355 nucleotides) under Elaeis guineensis (African oil palm). RNAcentral's name for it is "long non-coding RNA (EGUI_LNC082600)". Lineage: Eukaryota; Viridiplantae; Streptophyta; Magnoliopsida; Arecales; Arecaceae. The record is from RNAcentral.